RNAcentral lists this ribosomal RNA (495 nucleotides) under uncultured bacterium. RNAcentral's name for it is "partial 16S ribosomal RNA". It matches the Rfam family "Bacterial small subunit ribosomal RNA", at positions 28 to 507 of the family's 1533-position model. The record is from RNAcentral.
GACGAACGCUGGCGGCGUGCCUAAUACAUGCAAGUAGAACGCUGAAGGAGGAGCUUGCUCUUCUGGAUGAGUUGCGAACGGGUGAGUAACGCGUAGGUAACCUGCCUGGUAGCGGGGGAUAACUAUUGGAAACGAUAGCUAAUACCGCAUAACAGUAGAUGUUGCAUGACAUUUACUUAAAGGGUGCAAUUGCAUCACUACCAGAUGGACCUGCGUUGUAUUAGCUAGUUGGUGGGGUAACGGCUCACCAAGGCGACGAUACAUAGCCGACCUGAGAGGGGGAUCGGCCACACUGGGACUGAGACACGGCCCAGACUCCUACGGGAGGCAGCAGUAGGGAAUCUUCGGCAAUGGACGGAAGUCUGACCGAGCAACGCCGCGUGAGUGAAGAAGGUUUUCGGAUCGUAAAGCUCUGUUGUAAGAGAAGAACGAGUGUGAGAGUGGAAAGUUCACACUGUGACGGUAUCUUACCAGAAAGGGACGGCUAACUACGUG